CGAACGCUGGCGGCGUGCUUAACACAUGCAAGUCGAACGAUGAUGCCCAGCUUGCUGGGUGGAUUAGUGGCGAACGGGUGAGUAACACGUGAGUAACCUGCCCCUGACUCUGGGAUAAGCGUUGGAAACGACGUCUAAUACUGGAUAUGACUGCCGGCCGCAUGGUCUGGUGGUGGAAAGAUUUUUUGGUUGGGGAUGGACUCGCGGCCUAUCAGCUUGUUGGUGAGGUAAUGGCUCACCAAGGCGACGACGGGUAGCCGGCCUGAGAGGGUGACCGGC
Molecule: ribosomal RNA, 279 nt
Filed under: uncultured Curtobacterium sp.
Lineage: Bacteria; Bacillati; Actinomycetota; Actinomycetes; Micrococcales; Microbacteriaceae
Description: partial 16S ribosomal RNA
Rfam family: Bacterial small subunit ribosomal RNA
Source: RNAcentral